UAAGGUGAUGAAAAUUAUUCAAUGUGUAUAUAUGUAUAUGUGGUGUAAAUGAAAAUAAAAGAAAAAGAAAAAAUAAAAUAAAAAGAAGUAGGACCCACCAUUAAUGGAAUUAAGGCCAAAGAGACCAUGUUUGGUCUCAUAAUUCUCUCUUCUCCCGCUGGUAUAUCUCUCUUCCUCUCAAGCUUUCUUUUUCUUUUUCUUUUUUUUUUUUUUCCACCAAAACUUUGAAUCUGGAUUUCUCCUUUAAUUCUUGAUAUUUUUGAGUGCCGUUUACGGCAAAUUGAAGCUCACGGCGAGAUUUACAAGUUGAUCGGAGUAAUUUCUUGUUUGGUGCCCUCUAGGGAAUUCGGAAUCUAGGUCAUUAAUUUGGAAAUUUUGGGACUUUGCUUCAAUUAAGUGGACAGGGGAAAGAAGUGGCGGAUGGCGUUCCACUACAUACCUAAUUUGGAUUAGAAGAUCAUUUUGCUAUUUUUGUAUCCAAGUCUCACUAUUUUUGUAAAACUUAGUAUAUUGUAUUCUGUAUGGAGACUUAUGGACUCUUGUUAUUGUAAUUAUAUUCAUGAACUGUAAGUAGAUGUAAUUGGAGUAAAAUUCUAGUAUGUGAGUAUGGAACUAUGUAUAAGACAAGUACUCCUUUAUUCUGGAUGAAUGGGUUGAUGGUAAUGGACUAUUUUGAGGAGGUUGUAGAUGUUGUUUUGGGAA
Molecule: long non-coding RNA, 702 nt
Organism: Cornus florida
Lineage: Eukaryota; Viridiplantae; Streptophyta; Magnoliopsida; Cornales; Cornaceae
Exons: 2
Source: RefSeq, a predicted model, not a curated record